RNAcentral lists this ribosomal RNA (253 nucleotides) under uncultured bacterium. Its description in RNAcentral is "partial 16S ribosomal RNA". It matches the Rfam family "Bacterial small subunit ribosomal RNA", at positions 524 to 776 of the family's 1533-position model. The record is from RNAcentral.
UACGUAGGGGGCAAGCGUUGUCCGGAUUUAUUGGGCGUAAAGAGCGUGUAGGCGGCCAGAUAGGUCCGUUGUGAAAACUCGAGGCUCAACCUCGAGACGCCGAUGGAAACCAUGUGGCUAGAGUCCGGAAGAGGAGAGUGGAAUUCCUGGUGUAGCGGUGAAAUGCGCAGAUAUCAGGAAGAACACCCGUGGCUAAGGCGGCUCUCUAGUACGGUACUGACGCUGAGACGCGAAAGCGUGGGGAGCGAACAGG